Molecule: ribosomal RNA, 497 nt
Filed under: uncultured bacterium
Lineage: Bacteria
Description: partial 16S ribosomal RNA
Rfam family: Bacterial small subunit ribosomal RNA
Source: RNAcentral
GAUGAACGCUGGCGGCGUGCCUAAUACAUGCAAGUCGAGCGAACAGACCAGGAGCUUGCUCCUCUGACUUUAGCAGCGGACGGGUGAUUAACACGGGGAUAAACUACCUAUAAGACUGGGAUAACUACGGGAAACCGGAGCUAAUACCCGAUGAUUUAUUGCACCUCAUUGGUCAAUCGUGGAAGUCGGUUUUGCUUUGACUAAUAGAUGGAUCAGCGCCGCAUUAGUUAGUUGUUAAGGUAACGGCUUACCAAGGCAAGGAUGCGUAGACGACCUGAGAGGGUGAUCGGCCAGACUGGAAGUGAGACACGGUCCAGACUCCGACGGUAGGCAGCAGUAGGGAAUCUUCCGCAAGGGGGGAAAGCUGGACGGAGCAACGCCGCGGGAGUGAUGAUGGUCUUCGGAUCGGAAAACUAUGUUAUUAGGGAAGAACAAAUGUGUAAGUAACUAUGAACGUCUUGACGGUACCUAAUCAGAAAGCCACGGCUAACUACGUG